Molecule: non-coding RNA, 25 nt
Filed under: Rattus norvegicus (Norway rat)
Lineage: Eukaryota; Metazoa; Chordata; Mammalia; Rodentia; Muridae
Source: RNAcentral
UGACCUCAACGACGGUGUUUGUACA